CCCUUAGAUGUCCUGGGCUGCACGCGCGCUACACUGAUGUGUCCAGUAAGCACCUAACCUAUUCCGAGAGGAGCGGGUAACCUUAGCAAAGCACAUCGUGAUGGGGAUAGAUUAUUGCAAUUAUUAGUCUUGAACGAGGAAUUCCUAGUAAGCACAAGUCAUCAGCUUGUGUUGAUUACGUCCCUGCCCUUUGUACACACCGCCCGUCGCUCCUACCGAUUGAACGGUUUAGUGAGGGCCUCGGAUUGGUCUCGGCCCGCUCUUUACCGGGCGGCGCCGUUGGUCGAGAAGACGCUCGAACUUGAUCGUUUAGAGGAAGUAAAAGUCGUAACA
Molecule: ribosomal RNA, 333 nt
Filed under: uncultured eukaryote
Lineage: Eukaryota
Description: partial 18S ribosomal RNA
Rfam family: Eukaryotic small subunit ribosomal RNA
Source: RNAcentral